GAGCGAGGGAAAGAAGAAAAACAAAGAAGAGAAGAAGAAGCAGAGCCGGUCUGGAAGAAGCGCGGAAAAGAAACUGAGAGAACCUGGAGAAGGAGGAGGAGGAGGAGAGGCUGAGAAGACGGCGGGGCAGAGUCGAAGUGAGCAGCAUCGCCUACAAACUAUAGAAAAGAGCGGGAGAGCCAGUUCGCCGGCUGGUUGAGACCUGUUGCAGGCUCGGAAAGCAAAGCUGUCUGCCGGUGCUGAAGACAGAGCUGGUGGCCCAAUGAACUGUAUUAAAUAACACAGAGAGUGUGAAGAUGGCAGGUGGAUGUGCCGGUUUGAAGCCAACAACCACAAUGCUGCGGUCCAUGACAACAUGAGAUGUAAACAGUAAGAGGACUGCCCCCACCCAGCAGGGUGCAGCAGACUCAGACAGGGACUCACAGCUGGAGACUGAACCUGAAGAAAACUGCCAAAGGCGGAGACGUGACGUGACGCAGCCCGGACAGCUGAUGGAGACCGAGGCGAUCAGGGCUACACACCACUUAGUGUUUGUCCACAUUAGAUGUUGGACUUUUGGUUCACUCGGAACAAACACAUGUAGCCCUUGGCCUGUUGUCUGCUGUGCUUCCCUCUUUUCCAGGUUAUUAUACAGCAGGUUAUAUAUGCACUUUAUUUGAAGUUAUAUGCUGUUAAGUGCUGUUUUUGUUGAUUUCAUGUGUUGUUGUCAUUUUUGAGGACAGAGACAUGUUGUUGCUCUGAAAAUAAAAUGUAAUAUGUGAAGUCAGAUCUUUAUUUUCUUGUCAGUUAUCAUGAAUACUGUUUCUCUUUGUCUCUCUGCCUGUUAGACGCUAUUCAACACUAGAGUGACUAAAGCGCAUCAGUAGACUUGUUAUUUUGGUUAUGAAUUUCCUUCAAAAUACGAUCAUUUGAUGUCUGUGGUACGAUAAUCCUACAUUUCCCAGCUGGCAACGCUGGUUCAGUGAGUUGUUGAGUUGGAGCCACUUUAUAAACUGUGUGAAACUCUG
This is a long non-coding RNA of Acanthopagrus latus (yellowfin seabream), 1007 nucleotides long. RefSeq lists it as uncharacterized. The record is from RefSeq and is a predicted model, not a curated record. The transcript is spliced from 2 exons. Lineage: Eukaryota; Metazoa; Chordata; Actinopteri; Spariformes; Sparidae.